This 431-nucleotide ribosomal RNA is filed under the name uncultured bacterium. Its description in RNAcentral is "partial 16S ribosomal RNA". It matches the Rfam family "Bacterial small subunit ribosomal RNA", at positions 29 to 507 of the family's 1533-position model. The record is from RNAcentral.
AACGAACGCUGGCGGCAGGCUUAACACAUGCAAGUCGAACGCCCCGCAAGGGGAGUGGCAGACGGGUGAGUAACGCGUGGGAACAUACCCUUUUCUACGGAAUAGCUCUUGGAAACUUGAAUUAAUACCGUAUACGCCCUACGGGGGAAAGAUUUAUCGGGGAAGGAUUGGCCCGCGUUGGAUUAGCUAGUUGGUGGGGUAAAGGCCUACCAAGGCGACGAUCCAUAGCUGGUCUGAGAGGAUGAUCAGCCACAUUGGGACUGAGACACGGCCCAAACUCCAAAGGGAGGAAGAAGUGGGGAAUAUUGGACAAUAGGCGCAAGACUGAUCCAGCCAUGCAGCGUGAGUGAUGAAGGCCUGAGGGUUGUAAAGCUCUUUCACCGAUGAAGAUAAUGACGUUAGUCGGAGAAGAAGCCCCGGAUAACUUCGUG